CAGCCGUGAUCAUCGCUGCUGUUGCUGUUCCACGUUUUUCUGGCCCCCGCGUGCCCCACCCCUUUCCUCUUCACGCCCCUCUCAGCGCGUGGCCUUGCACACACGCACACACACGCGCGAGACGACCGUAAUCAGCACGACCGCUUCCCUGGCAGCCUUCCUCCUUUUCGUUGCUUAUAGUGUAUGCGGUGCCGACGCGCUGCUCGGCCUAUCCCGUCCUCCCCACCCCCCCCCGACACACACACACUCCAAUGUGGUCGCCCUCGUCCUCUGCGCCGCAGACCUCCGUCGACGUCGCGGCGGGCCAGCGUGGCCGCCGCGGUGUCCCCACCGCCAGUGGGAGAGACGUCACACCAUACGCGAUGGGGAUGGAUUUGGCACUGCCGGCCGGCCCCACCGGUGCGCGAGGCGCAGGACGCGUCUCGGCGGCUCGGCGGUCGUUGGCGGACGCAGCGCCGCCGCCGUCUCACAACGUACUUGUCGACGUGGACGGCCUGCGGUGCGAGGUGCGCUCAAUGCGCAGCGUGCCGCAUGCGCUGUACAGCACCCCAUCCGUCUCCCACGUCCUCGCCACGUACGUCCAGCAGCUCAUCGACGACUUCACCCGCUCGCUGCUGCUCUGCCGGCCCGCCCAGCGGAGCUCCAGCAGCAUCAGCAGUCGCGUCAUCCAGGCAGAGAGUGGCGAUCCGCAGCGACAGAAACAGCUGCAGUCCACCACCACCACCACACUCUGCGCUGCGGACCUCACGGUGGACGGCGCCCUAUCUUCAGAAGACGAGGAAACGUACCUGCUGUUGCGCCUGUGUCACCUCCACAAGGCAGAGCUCCAGCAGCAGCAGCAGCAGCAGCAGCCGUCGGAGUCCAGCGGCGGUGACGCCUCCGCGAUGGCGGGGGGGUGGCGGAUGGCUGGUGCGAACACAGGGUCUGUAGCAGAGCAGCUGAUUGCACUCUUCGCUGCUGCGGAUCGGCCGUGUUGUCGACAUGGGCCGAACGGCGGUGCCAGGGAGGAGGACAGUGAGCAGCACGACGCUGCGGUGCUGAUGCCACCGCUGCUGUCCUCCCUCUUGCUGUUUAAGCCGAUGCUGCACGACAUGCGGUACCUGGCGCAGCAUCUUCUUCUGCCGCGACACGCCUGGCAACACCACCAGCGGGAGUGGGUCAUUGUGUAUGAAGAUGUCGCCGUGACGCUGCGCGACCGCCUCUCUCGCUACCGCCGUGCCUCGAUGCGUAGCAGAGGGCGAGAUGGUGAAGUAGUGACCAACGACGAGGAUGGCACGGAGGACCGGGACGCCGCCAGCAUCCUCACAGGCAUGCAGCGGCUGUUUCCGGCGUCUGAGCUGCAGCACCUCUGGCACACCCUAUGGGAGCUGCUUGGCGCCGCGUGGCGCCAGCGCGACCGCCUCUGGGGUGCCUACCGCUACCUGCACGGCCCACGCCGUCUGCCUCCGCUGUGUCUGAGUGGACAAGCGCCGUGCGCGGUGCCGCCUGGCGUCCACGCAUGCCCAAUCAUGCGCGAGCAGUACGAGGCGUAUAUUGCCCGCGUGCAUGCCUUGACAGCCUCCCCCUCCCACGCUGUGCCCGAUGCGCCGGCGGCACCGCACGCGGAGGACAGCUGCGCCUUCGGCCCCUUCACGAGCGCCGAUAUCGGCAUCUCGGCACGGCGGCUGUACGUGCUGCGGCAGCCGCUAGCGGCGGUGCUGCGGACGCUGCGGGUGUCAGUUCCUCCAGCCGGUCGUGACCCUCUCGUCACCUCCGCCACCGCCCCUGUUGGCUUCCAGUACGUCGACGACCCUGUGCCCAACGGACAGGCAAACACGCCGGCGCCGACGACGGACGCGGCAACGCCUCUCGUCGUCCCGCUCUUCGACACCACCAACCAGGACGCGCAGCUGGCUGCAGCAGCGGUACCGUACGUGUCUCCGGAGGUGUACGUGUCGCUGCAGCAAGAGCGGCAGCGACAGCGACGGCGAGCUGCCUCGUGUAGUGCAUUGCCGGUGGUCUCGUGGCCGCCCGUGCACUCCUUCUCUGACGACGUGUGGAACGCGGCGGUUGUCGUGCUGGAGGCGGCGCUCAGCGGCUUCUGCGCGACGGAUGCAUCCAUGUGCCACCUCGCGCUGCCAUCCGUUCACAGCAGCGGCGUCGAUCUACUCGAUGAGCGAACGGCAAUGUCGCGCUCCUCGUCAUCGUCUUCGGUGUACUCGGGGGUGCUGCUGCUGCUGACGGAGCGCCAUGUGCUGCCGAGGGCUGCGGCGCACAACUUUCUAUAUGCGGCGCUGUACCAUCUGCAGGUGGCGCUGAACAAGGGCGGUUGCGAGGAUGUCGACAAUCAUGGCGGCAUCGACGGCGCCAAGGCGCUCCGGCAAGGGAGUGGCAGCGGCGACGGUACGGCGGCAGCGGUACUACCAUCGCCGACGCGCCUUGCUCGCGAAUGGGUGCGCUACCUCUGCAGCGCCUACGGGCCGGCAUGUCUGAAGGACGGCGGGAUCUUGGCAGAGGUGGCCAGUAAGGGGCUCUGCUGGCGCCGGUCGGAGCGGUGGAACGCGUUCGGGAUGGCCCACGUCACGGCCACGACGGCGAGUACGACGGCCGCUUGUGCGGAUGGCUGGCCAUCCGCCUCGUCGUUCACGCCACUGGAGACAGUCGGCGGCGCGAGCGGCAACAGCCGUGCGCCGGCGGCUGCGGCGGAGCAGCACCGCUCGACUCACGCCGGUGGCGGCCCGUCGUCCCCCGCUUACCUGUCGACCCCCGCGCCGCCGCUCGCAGAACACCUGAGCGGCAGACAUCACGGCCCUGCAGCGUUCGCCAUGCCCGCCCUUGCAGACACCUCCGUUGGUGUGGGCACACCGGGGGACGCCGACGGUGGCAGAGACGCAGCGGCGCUGUCGCGGCUGCCACAGCGGCUGGAUCGCACCUUCAACGCCCUCGACACGCCACUCCUGCGCCUACUGAGCCUCGAGCAUUACCGCGCAGCGCCCGAAGGAAAAGCUGGCAGUGCCGGCGUAUCGCCCGCGGGACCGAAGCUGAGCAGAGAGGCAGCAGCGACGGUGAACCGCCCCGCAUGCGGCGCCGCAGACGAUGCCGGCGACUUGUGGGCAGUCCUUUCCAGUUACCUUCGCCGCUGCACGAUGACAGCAGCAGCGACGGGCGCCUCAGCUACGCCUGCAGGGAAGGCGAACGGCGCUGUGACGGAAGCGGCUGACGCGGACUGUGUUGAUGAGCUGCUACGACUGCUUUUCUGCUGCCUUGUCCGCACAACGCGGUGCUACCGCGUCCACGAUGGCGCGCGCACCGCCUUCGCUGGCAGUGCUGCCUGCAAGGGCGAUGCGCCGGUGGAUGUGGAGUGGUGCCAGUACGCCGCCAUGAAUCACCCAUUCUUUCGCGGCGUCGCCGAGCGCGGCCUGCUGACAACGUACAUGACGGCUUCCUGCUGCAACGGCGGCGGCGGCGGCGGGGAGUUCAGCGAUUUCGCCUUUGCGACAGCGACUCUACCGGCGCUCAACCUUUAUGUCCCCGCUGCGGUGCUGCUGGCCACCGUGCGCGAGAUGGAGGCUACGUGGAAGGUGAGCGGCGUCGACGUCUGCUCCGAGCGUGUGGUGAAGCAGGCGACUUCCUUGCGUACGCUGAUCGGGGACGACAUGCGGGCCUGGGAGGCAAGCGCCGCGGCUCGCGGCGGUGGAAGCGGGGGUCGCAUGCAUCAGCAACAACAGCAGUACCUCCUGCUCGCGAACCCGUUCGUGGACAUGGCAGCGACGCUGCUGCCAUCACCGGUGCACCGCGCGCGGCGUGCCCUGGAUGGUGUCCUCUCCCCGAUAGACUUCGACCUUGCAGCGCAGCUCGACCACACGCACCAGCUGCGCCGCCUGUUGUACAGCGACAGCGAUGACGCCGCCGGCGAUGAUCGAGGGCGCGGCAAGAAAGGCGCAGCUGCUGCGCGUGUUCGAGCCUACCUGAAGUCCUUGCUGAUGCCGAACACUGAGCGCGGCACGGACGGCGUCGACUCUCACGUCGUCUACUCGCCCUUCUACCCGCUUCCUCCGACCCUCCGCGGAGAGGUGUGGGGGUGCCUCCUGUGCGUGCCGCCAUCCGCGUGCGCCCGGGAGGCCCUCCUCGCCCACGCCGUCCACCACACCGCCGCCAAGCCGACGCCGCACGACCGGCAGCUCUCGGUCGACAUUCCACGAUGCCACGCUUACCACCCGCUGCUCAGCUCCUCGUCUGGAUCUGCGCAGCUCAAGCGCAUCUUGCGGGCGUGGUUGUACCUCCACCCUGAGCACGCCUACUGGCAAGGGCUCGACAGCGUCUGUGCCGUCCUGCUGACCGUCAGCAACAGGGAUGAGGCGCUCGUGCUGGCGCAGCUCAACGCCCUCGUCAACCGCUUCAUCGCUCACGACGAGGACUGUGAGAGGCCUCGCGCCUCUGGCAUCGGCAGCGGCGCCGUCGAGGUGCCGUUCCAGGAUCGUAGCACGAUCCCUAGCGGUGACAGCAGUCUGGGCCCGCCCCGCGCCGGUGCCGCGACGUCGCCGCUGCCGCCGGCCAGGAAGCCGACCAUGGCGGAGCAGCUCCGCCGCCUCGUGGUCGUGCUACGCUACUGCGACCCGCUUCUGGCGCACUACCUCUUCGACGUCCUCGGCUGCACACCGGAGCUGUACGCCAUCAGCUGGCUGCUGACGCUCUUCUCGCACAGCCUGCCGACACGCAAGGUCUACCUCCUGUGGGACCUCCUGUUUGUGGAGGACGACGCUGCCUGCCUCGUAGUGCUCUGCGCCGUCGUCAUUAUUCACAAGCGCGAGGUCCUGCUGAGCACGGACUUCUCCGGCUGCCUUGCGUCCUUCAGCAGCGGCGCAUCCUCCAUAAAUGUCGCAGCUGCCGUCGGCGACGCGCGGUGGCUGAUGAGAGCUGUGCCGCCGUCGGUGCUAGCGCCGCCGCCGCCGGUGUCGUCGGACGACCGCAAGGAUGCGCAACAGUCGCUGUAUGGCUGUGGGCAUGACGAUGCCGGCGCAGCCAUCGGCCGCCCACUCGGCAGCAGCGGCGACGACGGCAGCGGUGUCGCCGCGGUGGCGCUCCUCGCCGUCGAGGACGUGGCCGCCGCGCUCGCAGCGUCCGCAGCAGCGAUCAGUGAAGGUGCUGACUGCGACAGGGAGGAGGGAAGCAGCGGGCCGCACUGGUUCGACAGCGGCGUCUACCUUGUGGAUGUGCGCGAGCAGCCGGCGGAGAAAGCCCUGCGGGAUUCGGUCCUCGGCGCCAUCAGCGUGCCGCUGUGCACAGCGGCACGUCGGAAGGCGCACGCCUCUGCAGGGUCAGGAGCGGCGCUUCAGCGUCGCGAGGUAUCUGAUGCGUGCGCCAGUGCAGUCGCCGACGAGGUUGGCGACGUUGACAGCGACGCUGCCGGUGCUGGAUGGGGUAUUGUGGAGCAGCAGGAGCGGAUGCAGGAGCAGCAGCGGGCGGAGCAGGACGCCGCGGCGCGGCAGGUCGAAGAUGCCGCAGCGGCCAUUGUCCGCCACGUCGGAAACCCGGCCAUGGCUGCCAUCAUACCACGAGUCUGGAGGGCCACCAAAAAUCAUGCUGCACCGCCGCUGCCGCCGCCACAACCAUCGUUGUUAUCGUGUCCGUGGCCGGUGCACCCGAUCGUGCUGAAGGCGUCGCGUGCCCCGCAUGUAGUGCUGCUAACAUCUGGCGUUGUGGAUGCGCACGAGCUGCCGCUCGCCCACCAGCUCGGCGUGAAGCUCAACGCGUGUGGGGUGCACAAUGUCAGCAUACUGCGUGGCGGUGUCGCCAGCGUGCGGCGUGCGCUACCGGAGCUGGUGGUGCGUCGUGCGCCAUCCACGUAGAGGGCGUGCUCGGUUUCUGCUUGCUUGCUCGGCCCCGCCGCCGCCGGCGCCGGCCUUGCCUCCAGUUUGAAAGACGAUGCAAAUCGCUCACCUAACGGCUCGCCCGCCUUUCCGCUCGAGGGCUAUAGCUAUCUACCUAUAUAUAUAUAUACGUCAUCAUGCGCCUCGCGGACAUGGUGGCAGUGGGGGGGGGGGUUGCUUCACGGAGGCAAGGGCCGCUGUCCUCUGCUGCUUCCCUUUCCACCGGCCACCACGGCCGCACACGGGCGACCACGUGACCCUGUACCACUACUCGAGCGACCGCCGAUGUCGAUGGUUCUACGAGCAACCCUGCACGCCCUCUCCUCCAUCUCGCCCCCUCUGGCCGGUGUGCGCACGCGUUUCCGUCUGUGCCUACGCGUGCGCGUACUCGGGCACACACACACACACACACACACACACACGUAUCCGCCAG
This 6282-nucleotide unclassified non-coding RNA is filed under the name Leishmania donovani. Its description in RNAcentral is "gene:LdHU3.01.0700(CDS-product:Rab-GTPase-TBC_dom ain_containing_protein_putative)". Lineage: Eukaryota; Euglenozoa; Kinetoplastea; Trypanosomatida; Trypanosomatidae. The record is from RNAcentral.